Gadus morhua (Atlantic cod) is the source of this 4045-nucleotide long non-coding RNA. Lineage: Eukaryota; Metazoa; Chordata; Actinopteri; Gadiformes; Gadidae. The record is from Ensembl.
CAAAAUGACAAAUAGGUCCUGUGUGAAUGCUAAGUGGCAGCAUGCCUUCUGGGUCCUUCUUCCAGCUGGCUAAAUACAUCAUGGCUCGUCUGGAGAAACAGUUGAUCCCCUGGAACGGUCUGGAGAAGGCUCUGCUCACCACGCCACACAUCUUCCAGCAUUACGCCGUCUACCUGGUGGCUACUGGCAUAGCCGGGCUGGUCCCGGAUCAGCUAGCACCUAGCCAGAAGGACCUGCUGAGGACGGAGUGUACGCUGAAGAGCCUGCCUCCCGGCUCCAUGCUCACCGUCAGCAGCGACCUGGUGGACGACCUCAUGGUCAAGCUGGUACUGAGGCUCCAGCCCCUGAACGGCGAGGGCUACAGACCGCUGAACCAGCAGACGCUCCUGACCACCACUCUCAAGAUGAGUUGUUUCAUCCUGGCCAGACUAAGGAAUAUGCCCGGCAUCACCGUGGACACCAGCCUCCCUUGUCCGUGCUGGGACAUCAGGAGGCUUGCCAUGCUGGUGCAUUGCGGCCUUACCAAGUCCUUGGGGUCCUCUCUCCAGGUAGGAUUGGUUGCCGAUGAAUGUAUGGUGGAGGAGCACUGGCUGAGGGCGUCUUCUCUCUUGUCUCUGUUGAAGGGCCAUAAUGUGCUCGUCUCCAUCCUGUGGGAGGUUGUCGAGGCCCUGCUGGCCCGGUACCAUUCAGACCGCCCUGAGGAAUCCUCCAUCCCCACCCAAGUUCCCAGGGUGAUGCAGGAGGAGCAGGAGAUGGAGGAAGAGCUGCUCAGCCAGAGACUUCCUGAGCAGCUCAGGGAGCAACUCUACGGGACGUUUGGCACGUGGGUCCAACACGGCAAACUCUUUGGCAGGGCUCUCCCACCGAUGAGCACCGCAGAGCAGGACCUGAGAGGAGGGGACGUAGCCGUCCUCAGCAACACUCUGGCUGACGACCCUGUCGCUCUGAACCCCAGUCUGGACGCCCCUCAGAAGGAGCAGCCCGACAGCCACAGCCGUUGUGAUCCGUCUGUGAUGGAGAACAGUAGCUGUGGACCUGUCACUGGAGAUCCCCUUCCUCCAGCAGCUCAGCCAGAGAACGGAGAGUCUAACUCCGUCUCCACAACCGACCCGGUUGUGAUCCAGCGGUCCACCGUUGGAUUCAUUGUGGCCCAGCUGUUCAGAGGCCGUGACGAAAUGUCCUCCCCGUCCCACAUCGACCGGUACCGGGCCUUCCAGAACCUGGUUGUCCGGGAAGUCCACCUCCUGCUGCAGGAGGAGGCCACCAUGAACCAGGACAACCCUGGAUUUGAGCGGACCCUGGAGCGCCUGAAGGACCCCGUGCAGGAGGAGAAACUGGGUCUGCAGCUUCGCUGGGUGCUUGAGGAUAGGCUGAGAGAGGCCUUGCCCGGCGUGUGCCUGUCCAGGGACGGGCUCAUGAAGGACCCCCCGAACACCCUGCUGGCCUGCUCCCUGAUCGCCACAGAGGUCCUUGAUCACCUGAAGACCUCUGUGAGCUCUCCUGACUACAACAAUGAGGCAGAGGAGUGUCUUCACGGGGAACAGUUGUUGGCCCCCACUAAGGACCCCCAGAAUGCCCUGCUGGCCCCUAAUGACCCGGACCCCCAGAAUCCCCCUGAUGACUUCAAGGGAGCAGAGGAGUGCCUCCACGGGGAAGACACAACGUUGGUCACCUCCCCUAAGGAGACUGUGGAGGUGAAGAAGAAAAAGAGGAGGUGGUCUUGGCUUCGCCGGCUCUUCACCUGCAAAAGAAAAUAAGCACGCCACUGCUUGGGCAGGUUGAAACAAUUAGCAUGAGCCGGAUAUUUGCUUGGAGAGCGGUAUUCAACUUCCUUAUGGCAAAAGUAAAUCCAUAUCCCACAUCUGGCGUCCGUCGUCCAAAAGUCAACAAAUUAUUUGCUUUUGUGUUUUAUCGUCGGGUGCCUCUGUGUUAUCGAGUGAAUCCUUUGGGAGCGAUGCAAAUUCCAUCCCAUCAACAGUUGCUGUGAUGCAUCCUUCUCCUCUGCCUGCUGUGUUGUGCCCCAGCAAAAAUCCCAGUGUACAUUGUACUCUAUAGGUGUACAUGUAACACUCAUGUCGGGGUAUAUAUAGGUCCAAGAGUUCAGUGUUCACUGAACACUGUUAGAAGAGCAAAAUAUGUACUCCAAAUUUAGAGUUACAUUUGAACACUUUGAGAGUGCAAAUGUACUCUAUUAGUGGUACCUUUGGGCACUCAUUCAGUGCUUCCUUACACCUGCAGUGUAAACCUAGAACCCCAGAGAGAAUAAAUAUGUACUCCCAAGUCAGUGCUUUGUAGCACUUCACAGAGCUGAUUAUUUAAUACUUCUAGAGUGAGAAUGUACUCUGACUGGUGUACAACCAACACCUUUGAGGUGAAUUAUCAACACUUCAUGAAUGAAUAGUCUACACAUUAGAUUCUUGAAAACAUUUUUAUUGAUGCUGCUGUGGUUGUUACAGUAAAUAAAUAAAUGUGUCCCUGUCAACCAAUUAAAGGGGAAUUCCGGUGUAAAACGGAUUUGGGGUAUGUUUUGUAUGAUAACGAGUUGAAACGUUCGUUUUGGAGCACAAAAAACGCAUAUAGACGCUUUCUUCAGUUGGCUGUUUCUGGCCGAUUCUAUCAAAACGCUAUAAACUUGGAACAAUGGGGGCAGUGGUUAUGGUAAAAACUAAAUGGCUAUUUUAAACCAUUUAAAAGGCUAGAAGUAGCCCGACACUUCUUUGGUAGUUCAAUAAGGGUAUUAACAUAUAAAACGAGGCAUUGAGAACUUUGUAAGUGUACAGAUUGUUUAUUAAAAAGUACAUUUUAUACACACAAUACCAUCAGUAGAUCACCCGUCGACGCCAUUUUGUUUUCAAGACUCGAUAAGUAGAUUGACAAACACAGAGAUUGUGACAUCCAUCAGCAACACACAAGCUCUGGCGGCAUGCCAUGGGACCUUUAAAAAAGAAAAAAAUUUAUCAGGAUACAAUUACCCUGUGAAACUUCACUACACGAUCCACAGCUUCCCGGAUACUGAUUUAGACAGCUCCCUUCUUUCCACUUGGAGGUGGUGGCAGGAGGUAGACCAGCAGGAGAAGUGAGGCCAUGUCCCUAUCCCAACCUGAAAAGGGAGAGCACAUACUUUGAGCAUGAAAUACACCUGAUGAAAGCACAUGACACAACAUAAAAGGUUAAAAAAGAUCUUGUCAAUAAAUAGUGAGCAUCUAAAAAGAUGGCCAAAUACAAACAGGUUAUUAUCAUAGGACCCUUUUAAAAAAAAAAAAAAAAAGGGUCCUAUGUUCCCCAGUCUCAUACAAAGAGGGGAACAUAGGACCCGGGGAACAUAGGACCCGGGGAACAUAGGACCCGGGGAACAUAGACACGCUCCCACUAAAUUGAAGCCACCUGCCUCGUUAGCAUUAGCUAAAAAUUGUAACGAGGCGUUAGCUAAAUUGAAGACAUGUGCCUCAUUAGCAUUGGCCAUUAAGUUUGACUAGCUAAAAUCGUUAGCAUUUAUAAGUUGGUUAUCAGAUCUAAAAGACGAAGAAAUGCUGAAUAUUCUGCAUUCAGGGUUUCUGCAGGUUUGAACAAGUUAAAUUUAAGACUUUAAUACCUUCUUAAGACCCAUUAUGAAUACAAUUUCUGACCUAUAUGAAGGACACACGCACAACUAACUAUGAAACAUAGAAACCCUGUGCAUUAUUCACUUGCUACUUUUCUUACCUGUUCACAUUCCCGUGAAGUUCAAAAAUGUCUUUGCUCACUCGGAGCAAUUCCUUGGCGAUAUUGAUUCGAUCCUCUCUAGUCAACCGUCUCUUCCGAAACAGUUUGCCGCGUAGUGUGGAAGAGGACAAACGGUCACAUGUCUCUAGAUUCAACCAAUGAGAAGGCGCAGCGACCCAAUGACGAAUCGAAACCUAAACCGACGUGCGGCCGGGAAAGUUUCAAUCAACCGUUGGACACUCAGGGUGUCCAUCAUCCUAAAAUAAACACUUAAAUUACUCUACACCACCAGCAUUAUACUUAGACAACACCCAAGAGUGUUUCUGGUACACCCCCAAAAAAU